Molecule: unclassified non-coding RNA, 397 nt
Filed under: uncultured fungus
Lineage: Eukaryota; Fungi
Description: partial contains 5.8S ribosomal RNA and internal transcribed spacer 2
Rfam family: 5.8S ribosomal RNA (bases 1-133)
Source: RNAcentral
UGGCUCUCGCAUCGAUGAAGAACGCAGCGAAAUGCGAUAAGUAAUGUGAAUUGCAGAAUUCAGUGAAUCAUCGAAUCUUUGAACGCAUCUUGCGCUCCUUGGUAUUCCGAGGAGCAUGCCUGUUUGAGUGUCAUUAAUUUCUCAAACCCCUUGGGCGUUUUUUCUCUCAAGGGGCUUUGGAAGUGAGGGUUUGUUGCAGGCUCUUUUCAUCGAGUCAGCUCCCUUGAAAUGCAUUAGUGGUACCUCUGUUGGUAUUCAACGACUGUUGGUGUGAUAAAUUACUAUCUACGCCCUCUCUAGUCUAGCCGACAAAAUGAGGUCAAGCCGCUUCUAACUCCCCCUCCACUUUGUGGAAAAUGACCAAUUUGACCUCAAAUCAGGUAGGACUACCCGCUGA